RNAcentral lists this ribosomal RNA (427 nucleotides) under uncultured bacterium. Its description in RNAcentral is "bacterial SSU rRNA". It matches the Rfam family "Bacterial small subunit ribosomal RNA", at positions 355 to 775 of the family's 1533-position model. The record is from RNAcentral.
UCGAGAAUUUUUCUCAAUGGGGGCAACCCUGAAGGAGCGACGCCGCGUGGAGGAUGAAGGCUUUCGGGUUGUAAACUCCUGUCAUUUGAGAACAAGUGCUAGUAACUAACUACUGCUAGCUUGAUAGUAUCAGAAGAGGAAGAGACGGCUAACUCUGUGCCAGCAGCCGCGGUAAUACAGAGGUCUCAAGCGUUGUUCGGAUUCAUUGGGCGUAAAGGGUGCGUAGGUGGCGUCGUAAGUCAGGUGUGAAAUCUCGGGGCUUAACUCCGAAACUGCAUUUGAUACUGCGGUGCUUGAGGACUGGAGAGGAGACUGGAAUUCAUGGUGUAGCAGUGAAAUGCGUAGAGAUCAUGAGGAAGACCAGUGGCGAAGGCGGGUCUCUGGACAGUUCCUGACACUGAGGCACGAAGGCCAGGGGAGCAAACGG